This 1337-nucleotide long non-coding RNA is filed under the name Nicotiana tabacum (common tobacco). RNAcentral's name for it is "long non-coding RNA (NTAB_LNC001257)". The record is from RNAcentral. Lineage: Eukaryota; Viridiplantae; Streptophyta; Magnoliopsida; Solanales; Solanaceae.
UAAAAGUUCAAUCAAAUGAGGCUGCACAAGAUGGGAAGUUUUUAAGGGUGUUGCCUCUUUACUGAUAUCUCGGUUUUUAAGGGUAAUAUUUUCUCUCUUUUUAAUAACGGUCUUCAUAUCACUAAGAUAAACCAUACUUGAUUGAGAAACCUUUAGCUUCUUCUUAAGUAUAUCAUGUCAAAGAGACAAGAACAUUCUAAUAACUGAAUAGGUGACAUGCCAAACCAUCCUGCUACCUCUUCAUUUCAAUCUUGUUUUGUGCAGAUUGGUAUCCUAUUUUUUAAUAUACGGAUAAGUAUCCUGUUUGACAGCUCUCUUUCCUAUUUUCCUCUUUGUAUAUUUGAAUCUUUGGUUGUUUUCCAUGAAAGCUGAAGUGUUCUACAUUAAAUAAGUAUUUACAAUUCCAAUCUACUAAAAUUCUCUAAAAGACUAGUUGUAUCUGGUAGUAAGUGUAAUGUAUCAACCUCCUGUUUUGUUGAGUUGCUACCACCAGUGCAAGGGUGGUGGAGUCUGCAACAUUUGCACAAGCAAAUAUCAUAAGUUGUACAUUAUUUCCUGCUGCGAGCGCGGAAAUGAACUCUACUCCGUUUGGUUCUGUAGCUUUCUUUCCCUGAAUUGGAUCAACAUAACAUUAGUAACAACUUGAGGAGAAAAAAAAUAUUUGAAUUGUAUAUCAAAUUUCAGAUAUGAUAAGUUCAUAAUUGUAAUUACCAUGUCCAUGGUUUUGAGAAAAGCUUUAGUGGCAUUUUCAGCAGACCAAUAACUCAUUUUCUGUUUCUUUGUAAUUUUCUGAAAUCUACAUUCUGCUUGGGUUAGUUUGGUAAGACAUCUACAUUCUUGCUGAUAGUUUCCUGUUUCUUCCUGCUUAAAAACCUAAUAUUGUCCUGUUUCUUCCUAUUUAACAACCCAUUUUCUGUUUCUUGCAACUUAACAGUAGAACUGCAACAACUAAAAGUUGAAAUCUAGGUUGUUUCUGAUCAAUUUCUUGCAGCAAUAUUGGCAGCAAAUCUGCAUCGGUGAGCUCUCAAGUUAGCUAUUUUUUGGUUUAAGUGUUCCUAUGUUAUUUGCUAACCUAUAUUGUGUUUGCUUUUCAAAAUCUGAAAAAUAUUUGUAUAGACAUAAAUCAAGAAGGGUGCUCAAGCAAAAAUAAGAAAAUAUCUAACCGUAUUCCAGCUUGAUCACUUGCAUCUUUGUGAAAUCAAAAGGUUUCGUCGUUGACAACAAAAAGAACCUUCCAAGCUACAAGGUCAAAUGAAAAUGAAGCACGACAGUCAGAAGGUGGAUUACCUUCAUCUUUGCGAAACCAAAAGGUUAUAUAUCUUCUUCUAUUUCUUCCU